Molecule: small RNA, 124 nt
Filed under: Marmota monax (woodchuck)
Lineage: Eukaryota; Metazoa; Chordata; Mammalia; Rodentia; Sciuridae
Source: RNAcentral
GCUGGGUGCAGUGGUGCACACCUGUAAUUCAAGUGGCUCGGGAGGCUGAGGCAGGAGGAUAACAAGUCAAAGCCAGCCUCAGCAACAGCAAGGCACUAAGCAACUCAGUGAGACCCUGUCUCUA